UUAAGCGACUAAGCGUACACGGUGGAUGCCUAGGCAGUCAGAGGCGAUGAAGGGCGUGCUAAUCUGCGAUAAGCGUCGGUAAGCUGAUAUGAAGCGUUAUACCCGACGAUACCCGAAUGGGGAAACCCAGUGUGUUUCGACACACUAUCAUUAUGUGAAUACAUAGCGUAAUGAGGCGAACCGGGGGAACUGAAACAUCUCAGUACCCCGAGGAAAAGAAAUCAACCGAGAUUCCCCUAGUAGCGGCGAGCGAACGGGGAGGAGCCCAGAACCUGAAUCAGUUUGUGUGUUAGUGGAAGCGUCUGGAAAGUCGCACAGUAAAGGGUGAUAGUCCCGUACACAAAAAUGCACAAAUUGUGAGUUCGAUGAGUAGGGCGGGACACGUGACAUCCUGUCUGAAUAUGGGGGGACCAUCCUCCAAGGCUAAAUACUCCUGACUGACCGAUAGUGAACCAGUACCGUGAGGGAAAGGCGAAAAGAACCCCGGCGAGGGGAGUGAAAUAGAACCUGAAACCGUGUACGUACAAGCAGUGGGAGCCUUGAUUAAUCAGGGUGACUGCGUACCUUUUGUAUAAUGGGUCAGCGACUUAUAUUCUGUAGCAAGGUUAACCGUAUAGGGGAGCCGCAGGGAAACCGAGUCUUAACUGGGCGUUAAGUUGCAGGGUAUAGACCCGAAACCCGGUGAUCUAGCCAUGGGCAGGUUGAAGGUUGGGUAACACUAACUGGAGGACCGAACCGACUAAUGUUGAAAAAUUAGCGGAUGACUUGUGGCUGGGGGUGAAAGGCCAAUCAAACCGGGAGAUAGCUGGUUCUCCCCGAAAGCUAUUUAGGUAGCGCCUCGUGAAUUCAUCUUCGGGGGUAGAGCACUGUUUCGGCUAGGGGGUCAUCCCGACUUACCAACCCGAUGCAAACUACGAAUACCGAAGAAUGUUAUCACGGGAGACACACGGCGGGUGCUAACGUUCGUCGUGAAGAGGGAAACAACCCAGACCGCCAGCUAAGGUCCCAAAGUCAUGGUUAAGUGGGAAACGAUGUGGGAAGGCACAGACAGCCAGGAUGUUGGCUUAGAAGCAGCCAUCAUUUAAAGAAAGCGUAAUAGCUCACUGGUCGAGUCGGCCUGCGCGGAAGAUGUAACGGGGCUAAACCAUGCACCGAAGCUGCGGCAGCGACACUUAGGUGUUGUUGGGUAGGGGAGCGUUCUGUAAGCCGUCGAAGGUGGCCUGUGAGGGCUGCUGGAGGUAUCAGAAGUGCGAAUGCUGACAUAAGUAACGAUAAUGCGGGUGAAAAACCCGCACGCCGGAAGACCAAGGGUUCCUGUCCAACGUUAAUCGGGGCAGGGUGAGUCGACCCCUAAGGCGAGGCUGAAAAGCGUAGUCGAUGGGAAACAGGUUAAUAUUCCUGUACUCGGUGUUACUGCGAAGGGGGGACGGAGAAAGCUAGGUUAUCCGGGCGACGGUUGUCCCGGUUUAAGCGUGAAGGUGGAUGACUUUGGUAAAUCCGGGUCGUCAUUAACACUGAGGCGUGAUGACGAGUCACUACGGUGAUGAAGUAACCGAUGCUACGCUUCCAGGAAAAGCCUCUAAGCUCCAGGUAACAUCAAAUCGUACCCCAAACCGACACAGGUGGUCAGGUAGAGAAUACUCAGGCGCUUGAGAGAACUCGGGUGAAGGAACUAGGCAAAAUGGUGCCGUAACUUCGGGAGAAGGCACGCUGAUGGUAGGUGAAGUGACUUGCUCACGGAGCUGAAAUCAGUCGAAGAUACCAGCUGGCUGCAACUGUUUAAUAAAAACACAGCACUGUGCAAACACGAAAGUGGACGUAUACGGUGUGACGCCUGCCCGGUGCCGGAAGGUUAAUUGAUGGGGUCAGCCGCAAGGCGAAGCUCUUGAUCGAAGCCCCGGUAAACGGCGGCCGUAACUAUAACGGUCCUAAGGUAGCGAAAUUCCUUGUCGGGUAAGUUCCGACCUGCACGAAUGGCGUAAUGAUGGCCAGGCUGUCUCCACCCGAGACUCAGUGAAAUUGAACUCGCUGUGAAGAUGCAGUGUACCCGCGGCAAGACGGAAAGACCCCGUGAACCUUUACUAUAGCUUGACACUGAACCUUGAGCCUUGAUGUGUAGGAUAGGUGGGAGGCUUUGAAGCGAGGACGCCAGUUCUUGUGGAGCCAACCUUGAAAUACCACCCUUUAAUGUUUGAUGUUCUAACGUGGGCCCGUAAUCCGGGUUGCGGACAGUGUCUGGUGGGUAGUUUGACUGGGGCGGUCUCCUCCCAAAGCGUAACGGAGGAGCACGAAGGUUAGCUAAUCCUGGUCGGACAUCAGGAGGUUAGUGCAAAGGCAUAAGCUAGCUUGACUGCGAGAGUGACAGCUCGAGCAGGUGCGAAAGCAGGUCUUAGUGAUCCGGUGGUUCUGAAUGGAAGGGCCAUCGCUCAACGGAUAAAAGGUACUCCGGGGAUAACAGGCUGAUACCGCCCAAGAGUUCAUAUCGACGGCGGUGUUUGGCACCUCGAUGUCGGCUCAUCACAUCCUGGGGCUGAAGUAGGUCCCAAGGGUAUGGCUGUUCGCCAUUUAAAGUGGUACGCGAGCUGGGUUUAGAACGUCGUGAGACAGUUCGGUCCCUAUCUGCCGUGGGCGUUGGAAGAUUGAGAGGGGUUGCUCCUAGUACGAGAGGACCGGAGUGAACGCACCACUGGUGUUCGGGUUGUGAUGCCAAUUGCAUUGCCCGGUAGCUAAGUGCGGAAGAGAUAACCGCUGAAAGCAUCUAAGCGGGAAACUUGCCUCGAGAUGAGUCUUCCCUGGGCACUAGAUGCCCCUGAAGGGCCGUUGAAGACGACGACGUAGAUAGGCUGGGUGUGUAAGCGUAGCGAUACGUUGAGCUAACCAGUACUAAUGACCCGAGAGGCUUAACCU
RNAcentral lists this ribosomal RNA (2907 nucleotides) under Pectobacterium polaris. Its description in RNAcentral is "23S ribosomal RNA". It matches the Rfam family "Bacterial large subunit ribosomal RNA". Lineage: Bacteria; Pseudomonadati; Pseudomonadota; Gammaproteobacteria; Enterobacterales; Pectobacteriaceae. The record is from RNAcentral.